This 490-nucleotide ribosomal RNA is filed under the name uncultured bacterium. RNAcentral's name for it is "partial 16S ribosomal RNA". It matches the Rfam family "Bacterial small subunit ribosomal RNA", at positions 30 to 507 of the family's 1533-position model. The record is from RNAcentral.
AUUGAACGCUGGCGGCAGGCCUAACACAUGCAAGUCGAACGGUAACAGGAAGCAGCUUGCUGCUUUGCUGACGAGUGGCGGACGGGUGAGUAAUGUCUGGGAAACUGCCCGAUGGAGGGGGAUAACUACUGGAAACGGUAGCUAAUACCGCAUAACGUCGAAAGAGCAAAGAGGGGGACCUUAGGGCAUCUUGCCAUCGGAUGUGACCAGAUGGGAUUAGCUAGUAGGUGGGGUAACGGCUCACCUAGGCGACGAUCCCUAGCUGGUCUGAGAGGAUGACCAGCCACACUGGAACUGAGACACGGUCCAGACUCCUACGGGAGGCAGCAGUGGGGAAUAUUGCACAAUGGGCGCAAGCCUGAUGCAGCCAUGCCGCGUGUAGGAAGAAGGCCUUCGGGUUGUAAAGUACUUUCAUCGGGGAGGAAGGGAGUAAAGUUAAUACCUGUGCUCAUUGACGUUACCCGCAGAAUAAGCACCGGCUAACUCCGUG